Molecule: ribosomal RNA, 114 nt
Filed under: Rhodocyclaceae bacterium
Lineage: Bacteria; Pseudomonadati; Pseudomonadota; Betaproteobacteria; Rhodocyclales; Rhodocyclaceae
Source: RNAcentral
UCUGGUACCCAUAGCGUCUUGGAACCACCCCUUCCCAUCCCGAACAGGACCGUGAAACGAGACCGCGCCGAUGAUAUUACGUACUACGCGUGAGAAAGUAGGUCAGUGCCAGAC